CGUCCAGUCGUCACCACUCUGUCCAAAAAUCGAGCUCGUUAUUAUUUUUAAUCAGUGUCUUUGUUUUCAAAUAUAAUGAAUUAAUGCUAACCGCCUUGAAACUGGAGGCAGGAAAGAACAAAUAACCGUUUUAAAAUUGUGUCAUUUGUCUGACGUUUAUCAAUUUUGAUUACUUGGUUAGACAAGUAAGAAAUUAGUACUAAUUAUUAAAAUGUUUUCUUGAAUACUGAUCCAGGUUUUCAUCGAUAAUCUUAAACCAAACAUGUUCGAAUGUAAUUAGCUGACUCGGAAGUCGGAAAGGAAUGUGAAUGUGGCAAGUCUGGCAACUGGCAACAGCCAUCAGCCAAGAGCCAACAUGUUUGUCAUUAAAGAUUAAAGCAAAUGGAGCUAGAGGGGGCUACAGUGGGCUUUUGAAUACGGGGACCAAAAACUUUGAAUGCUGCCCGUGGCUAUCAGAACCUUUCGUCGGAUUGAAUCUUCUUCAGAUUACCGGCUUACGAUUGAGCAUCGUCGCGAACAGCAGCAUGUAUGUAGCAAAAUAAGCAAAAUAUUUUGCUUGAAUGAGAUUUUCCUAAUGUUCUUAACAUUAUAUUUUGCAUAAGGAUUUUGUCUAUUCUAGUCAAAAUGUUGAAAAUCUAACUUUGACCAUUUUAGCAUCAGGUUUGUCAAAAGUUUAAUCUUAUCCUAUAUUGGUGGAAUUCCUUUGAGUAAAAAUUGUGAAGAGAUGCAAUCAAAAAUUGGUAAAUGUAACAUAUAUAAUUAUAUAUAAUUGGAAAAUUUCAUGUAUUUACAUCCUCAAAAUAGUCAGCACAUAAAGUUGAUAUGAUUUUCUA
This is a long non-coding RNA of Daphnia magna, 833 nucleotides long. RefSeq lists it as uncharacterized. The record is from RefSeq and is a predicted model, not a curated record. The transcript is spliced from 2 exons. Lineage: Eukaryota; Metazoa; Arthropoda; Branchiopoda; Diplostraca; Daphniidae.